UACGUAGGGUCCGAGCGUUGUCCGGAAUUAUUGGGCGUAAAGGGCUCGUAGGCGGUUCGUCACGUCGGGAGUGAAAACUCGGGGCUUAACCCCGAGCCUGCUUCCGAUACGGGCAGACUAGAGGUAGGCAGGGGAGAGCGGAACCCCUGGUGUAGCGGUGGAAUGCGCAGAUAUCAGGAGGAACACCAAUAGCGAAGGCAGCUCGCUGGGACGUUACUGACACUGAGGCGCGAAAGCGUGGGGAGCGAACAGG
This 253-nucleotide ribosomal RNA is filed under the name uncultured bacterium. RNAcentral's name for it is "partial 16S ribosomal RNA". It matches the Rfam family "Bacterial small subunit ribosomal RNA", at positions 524 to 776 of the family's 1533-position model. The record is from RNAcentral.